RNAcentral lists this ribosomal RNA (385 nucleotides) under uncultured bacterium. RNAcentral describes it as "bacterial SSU rRNA". It matches the Rfam family "Bacterial small subunit ribosomal RNA", at positions 28 to 414 of the family's 1533-position model. The record is from RNAcentral.
GACGAACGCUGGCGGCGUGCUUAACACAUGCAAGUCGAGCGGUAAGGCCCUUUCGGGGGUACACGAGCGGCGAACGGGUGAGUAACACGUGGGUGACCUGCCCUCAGCUCUGGGAUAAGCCUGGGAAACCGGGUCUAAUACCGGAUAUGACUCCAUGACGCAUGUUGUGGGGUGGAAAGCCUUGUGCGGCUGAGGAUGGGCCCGCGGCCUAUCAGCUUGUUGGUGGGGUGANGGCCUACCAAGGCGACGACGGGUAGCCGGCCUGAGAGGGCGACCGGCCACACUGGGACUGAGACACGGCCCAGACUCCUACGGGAGGCAGCAGUGGGGAAUCUUGCGCAAUGGGCGAAAGCCUGACGCAGCGACGCCGCGUGAGGGAUGACGG